UCGCCUGUUUAUCAAAAACAUGUCCUUAUGAUUAAUAAUUUAAGGUCUGACCUGCCCACUGAAUAAAGUUUAAAGGGCCGCGGUAUUUUGACCGUGCAAAGGUAGCAUAAUCAUUAGUCUUUUAAUUGGAGGCUGGAAUGAAUGGUUGGACGAGGCAUUGACUGUCUCAGUGUAAAUGAUAUUAGAAUUUAACUUUUGAGUCAAAAGGCUUAAAUUUUUUUAAGGGACGAGAAGACCCUAUAGAGCUUUAUAAUUAAUUAUUAUAAUUUAUUUAGUUGAAUUUAGAUUAUAGUUUGUCAAUUAUUUUGUUGGGGUGACAGGAAGAUAAAUAAAACUCUUUUUAAUUUUUAUCCAUUGAUUUAUGAAUUAUUGAUCCAUUAUUAGUGAUUAAAAGACUAAGUUACCUUAGGGAUAACAGCGUAAUCUUUUUUGAGAGUUCUUAUCGACAAAAAGGGUUGCGACCUCGAUGUUGGAUUAAGGGUAAUUUUGGGUGUAGAUGUUCAAAGUUUAGGUCUGUUCGACCUUUAGAUCCUUACAUGAUCUGAGUUCAAACCGGAGA
RNAcentral lists this ribosomal RNA (559 nucleotides) under Paraperla frontalis. RNAcentral's name for it is "partial 16S ribosomal RNA". It matches the Rfam family "Bacterial large subunit ribosomal RNA", at positions 1796 to 2622 of the family's 2925-position model. The record is from RNAcentral. Lineage: Eukaryota; Metazoa; Arthropoda; Insecta; Plecoptera; Chloroperlidae.